AAACUCCAUCUUUAUUGGCUGUAUAAACAUCUCUGGUCUGUACAUACAUUUCAUACAUCGUAGGGUGGGAAGCGAGGGCCAAAGGGAGGCCCAGCAGCACAACAGCUCACCCGCUUUCCCUACAGCCCUACCCGCUCUGUGCAAACCAAGGCCAACAGCUCCUGCUGCCUCUUCCUCCCUGGAAAAGUCACUGUUACGGGGAGGGGGUCAGGGGUUGAAGGAUUAGAAGGAGAUAGAGGGCUUGGUGGGGAGGACACAUGUAAGUGCUAGAAUCAAACACUGAAGCGAAACAGGCAACUGGCACAAGCAGCAAGCUGAGGCAUGGGACGGGGCAGGAAAAGGGGAGGGAGGGGCCACGCUGCCCCUCUGGGCUUGCUCAGCUAAGGGACAUGGGUGGCACAGGUAAAGAAAGGAUGGAAGGGGAGAAAGGAGUGAAGGCCCUAGUGCCCUGUCACCUCACAGCCCCUCUCUCUUAAACAUGCAACAGGCACCCACCCAUGUGGGUCCAGGUAUGGGGAGCCAGAGACCUAGAUCCUCUGUGGUGCCUGAGCAGGUUGGGGUGGGGAGCCAGCUCUCAAGGGAAAGAUGGAGAGCCUAGAGGAGUCUUCCUGGGGCAGCAGCCAGUGAAAGGACAGAGAUGAACAAAGAGAGGUCCCCUGGCCCUGCCAGGGGUAUGACAGCAGCAGCUGGUUCACACAACCAGCAAAGAAAACAAGAGGAAUUCAAGGAGAAAUACCAUGGUGAGUAGGGGAGGGGGCUGUCUACUCUACCCUCUACAAAGCAUCAUGCCCGAAUAGCAGCUGAGAUAGGGUGCUCACGCCUCUCCACCCACACAGGGCCAGUGAGGGAAAGGGGGACCCAGAAGCCCACUGACCAAAGCGAGUGGGACCACCCACAUACCAACACCAUUCUUUGGGUCCAUUCCUGUCCAACCAGGGACUCAGGCCCAGGGACUGACAACAGUGGCAGCACCAGGUCAGAAACGUGGACACAGAGAAGCAUGACAGGGGCCUGAGCCAGUGGGGGCAGAGUGACUACACACCUCCAGGGGCCUGCUGGGUAAACGAAGCCUCUGGGAAGUCAGGAACUGGGUGCCUGGCCCAGCAGAGGGUGAGCAGGGAGAAGGAGCAGGUCUGGAGGGGAGGCCCUAGCCACUCAAGGGGUGCAGAUCUACUUUGACUUUCUCCCCACAGCUCAGCAUUCCAAUGGUGGGGAAGAAGCCUCCAGAAGGAACAACAGCAUCCUUCUUCCCAAUGAUCUUGCCAUUCCGAGUGAAGAAAACCUGGGGAGGAGGUGGGGAGAAGAAUGGAGCAAGCAGGCUGUGGCCUCUUCCCUGAGGAUGCUGGAGCUCCACAGGCCUGAACCCCAAUCACCCCAGCUUCCAGCG
Molecule: long non-coding RNA, 1387 nt
Filed under: Pan troglodytes (chimpanzee)
Lineage: Eukaryota; Metazoa; Chordata; Mammalia; Primates; Hominidae
Description: long non-coding RNA NONPTRT003886
Source: RNAcentral